Molecule: ribosomal RNA, 377 nt
Filed under: uncultured bacterium
Lineage: Bacteria
Description: bacterial SSU rRNA
Rfam family: Bacterial small subunit ribosomal RNA
Source: RNAcentral
UAAUACGGAGGGUGCGAGCGUUGUCCGGAAUCACUGGGCGUAAAGGGCGCGUAGGUGGCGCGGAGAGUCAACGGUGAAAGCUCGGGGCUCAACCCCGAGUCGGCCGUCGAUACUUCCGGGCUGGAGCACUGUAGAGGCAGGUGGAAUUCCGGGUGUAGCGGUGGAAUGCGUAGAGAUCCGGAAGAACACCGGUGGCGAAGGCGGCCUGCUGGGCAGUUGCUGACACUGAGGCGCGACAGCGUGGGGAGCAAACAGGAUUAGAUACCCUGGUAGUCCACGCCGUAAACGAUGGGCACUAGGUGCUUGGGGGAGCGACCCUCUGAGUGCCGGCGCUAACGCAUUAAGUGCCCCGCCUGGGGAGUACGGCCGCAAGGCUG